UACGUAGGGGCUAGCGUUAUCCGGAAUUACUGGGCGUAAAGGGUGCGUAGGUGGUUUCUUAAGUCAGAGGUGAAAGGCUACGGCUCAACCGUAGUAAGCUUUUGGAACUGUAAGACUUGAGUGCAGGAGAGGAGAGUGGAAUUCCUAGUGUAGCGGUGAAAUGCGUAGAUAUUAGGAGGAACACCAGUAGCGAAGGCGGCUCUCUGGACUGUAACUGACGCUGAGGCACGAAAGCGUGGGGAGCGAACAGGAUUAGAUACCCUGGUAGUCCCUGA
RNAcentral lists this ribosomal RNA (275 nucleotides) under uncultured prokaryote. RNAcentral's name for it is "partial 16S ribosomal RNA". It matches the Rfam family "Bacterial small subunit ribosomal RNA", at positions 524 to 800 of the family's 1533-position model. The record is from RNAcentral.